This 250-nucleotide ribosomal RNA is filed under the name uncultured prokaryote. RNAcentral's name for it is "partial 16S ribosomal RNA". It matches the Rfam family "Bacterial small subunit ribosomal RNA", at positions 524 to 773 of the family's 1533-position model. The record is from RNAcentral.
UACGUAGGUGGCAAGAGUUGUCCGGAAUUACUGGGUGUAAAGGGAGCGCAGGCGGGGAAGCAAGUCAGCUGUGAAAUCCAUGGGCUUAACCCAUGAACUGCAGUUGAAACUGUUUUUCUUGAGUGAAGUAGAGGUAGGCGGAAUUCCGAGUGUAGCGGUGAAAUGCGUAGAUAUUCGGAGGAACACCGGUGGCGAAGGCGGCCUACUGGGCUUUUACUGACGCUGAGGCUCGAAGGCGUGGGGAGUAAAC